Molecule: ribosomal RNA, 450 nt
Filed under: uncultured bacterium
Lineage: Bacteria
Description: bacterial SSU rRNA
Rfam family: Bacterial small subunit ribosomal RNA
Source: RNAcentral
GUGAGGAAUAUUGCGCAAUGGGGGAAACCCUGACGCAGCAACGCCGCGUGGGUGAAGAAGGCCUUCGGGUCGUAAAGCCCUUUCGGACGGGACGAACGCUCCGCGGUGACAACCCGCGGAGUCUGACGGUACCGUAAGAAGAAGCACCGGCUAACUCCGUGCCAGCAGCCGCGGUAAUACGGAGGGUGCAAGCGUUGUUCGGAAUUACUGGGCGUAAAGCGCGUGUAGGCGGCCUUGCAAGCCAGACGUGAAAGCCCUCGGCUUAACCGGGGAAGUGCGUCUGGAACUGCUCGGCUCGAGUACGGGAGAGGGAGGCGGAAUUCCCAGUGUAGAGGUGAAAUUCGUAGAUAUUGGGAGGAACACCGGUGGCGAAAGCGGCCUCCUGGACCGAUACUGACGCUGAGACGCGAAAGCGUGGGGAGCAAACAGGAUUAGAAACCCCAGUAGUCC